Molecule: ribosomal RNA, 545 nt
Filed under: Blastococcus sp.
Lineage: Bacteria; Bacillati; Actinomycetota; Actinomycetes; Geodermatophilales; Geodermatophilaceae
Description: bacterial SSU rRNA
Rfam family: Bacterial small subunit ribosomal RNA
Source: RNAcentral
UGGGGCUAAUACCGGAUAUGACCGCUGACCGCAUGGUCUGGUGGUGGAAAGAUUUAUCGGCUGGGGAUGGGCCCGCGGCCUAUCAGCUUGUUGGUGGGGUAGUGGCCUACCAAGGCGACGACGGGUAGCCGGCCUGAGAGGGUGACCGGCCACACUGGGACUGAGACACGGCCCAGACUCCUACGGGAGGCAGCAGUGGGGAAUAUUGCGCAAUGGGCGAAAGCCUGACGCAGCGACGCCGCGUGGGGGAUGACGGCCUUCGGGUUGUAAACCUCUUUCAGCAGGGACGAAGCGAAAGUGACGGUACCUGCAGAAGAAGCACCGGCCAACUACGUGCCAGCAGCCGCGGUAAUACGUAGGGUGCAAGCGUUGUCCGGAAUUAUUGGGCGUAAAGAGCUCGUAGGCGGUUUGUUGCGUCGGCUGUGAAAUCCCGAGGCUCAACCUCGGGUCUGCAGUCGAUACGAGCAAACUAGAGUGUUGCAGGGGAGACUGGAAUUCCUGGUGUAGCGGUGAAAUGCGCAGAUAUCAGGAGGAACACCGGUGGC